AUAAUAACACUAGAUAGAAUAACGACAUUAGAAUAACAACACUAGGUAGAAUAAUAACACUAGAUAGAAUAACGACAUUAGAAUAACAACACUAGGUAGAAUAAUAACACUAUGUAGAAUAAUAACACUAGGUAGAAUAACAACACUAGGUAGAAUAAUAACACUAGAUAGAAUAACGACAUUAGAAUAACAACACUAGGUAGAAUAAUAACACUAGAUAGUAUAACGACAUUAGAAUAACAACACUAG
This is a long non-coding RNA of Haliotis rubra (blacklip abalone), 249 nucleotides long. RefSeq lists it as uncharacterized. NCBI's taxonomy places the organism in Eukaryota, Metazoa, Mollusca, Gastropoda, Lepetellida, Haliotidae. The transcript is spliced from 3 exons. The record is from RefSeq and is a predicted model, not a curated record.